CUCUUGGUGUCCCUGGUUGGUUGUUGUCUUUCAUCCUUGAAGAAUCCCCAAAUGCCACCACCAUAUUGGUGCCAAUUUACAGUACAUACAAAUGUGGCUGAUCUGACCACACAAGCUCUGAAGCCUCUACCACAAGUCAGGUACAAAUGGCACAUAUGAGUAUUUGGAGUGAUGUCUAAAGCUGUACAUCUCAUGAUUCUUUUGAGUUCCUGCAAUUCAGCUUUGCUCUUAGAAUGCAGCUCCUUAUUUGAUGUAGCUCCAUCAUGCUGGAUGGGCCUGUGCCAGUGUCUUCUAUGUCUCACAAUCAAUACCCAAGUUUUUCAGAGAGACCUUGAGAAUGUCCUUGUCUCACAUCUGACUUGCGUGUGGGCUUGCCUUAGGUGAGUUCUCUAUAAAAAAUAUUUUAGCCAAACACGCAUUGACAUUCAAACAGCUUAGCCAGCCCAUUCUAAUUGUACUUUGUGCAGUAGAGUCUGAAUUUUGGCAGUUUAAUUCAUUUGAGAAAGGAUCUCAGCAUACCUUAUCUUGCCAAGUGACCUUUAGAAUCUUCCUAAAACCAUUCCAAUAGAAGUGAUUGAGUUUCCUGGCAUGGCUCGAGCAUACUGUCCAUACUCCAUGGGCAUGCACACAACAGUGACAUCAGCGCAACGGCUCCGUUAGACCUUCAGUAUGGUAGGCAGCCUGAUACCUCUUCUCUCCCACACGUUCCUUCAGAGCCUCCCAAACCCUGAGCUAGCCUUGGCAAAGUAUACAUCAACCUCGUCAUGUGUGUGUACAUGCUUGCAAAAUACAUUGCCAAGGGGACUAAAAAUCAAAACUAACAACAGGACAGAGCCAAAGAACCCUCCUGCUAGACUCAACAUAAAAGAUUCUUCUGUCUUCUUGUACUGGAACAUAUGUGCGUGUGUAAGAUUUGUGUCCAAUCAGGUCACCACCCACAAGUAAAUUGUGUAGGAACUGGAGACGGCUCCUACAUUUGGCAUACAACAUGGUUAAAAUCACCUGAGGAGAUGGUGUUGGGGUUCAAGAUUGGAGAUGGAUCAGCAGACCUGGACUUGGCCAGUUGGAUAUCAGAAGUCCAUGGAAGAAAACCAAAGUCUUCAAGCAUUUCCAAAGAAAGCCAGCCCAGAGAGAGGAGAGAGCAGAUGUCUGGCUAG
Molecule: long non-coding RNA, 1157 nt
Filed under: Monodelphis domestica (gray short-tailed opossum)
Lineage: Eukaryota; Metazoa; Chordata; Mammalia; Didelphimorphia; Didelphidae
Description: lncRNA (ENSMODG00000050504.1)
Source: RNAcentral